AGGAAAACGUGCAUGGAUUUCUUCGGUGUGGCAGUGUGUAAAUAUUUGCGCUCGCGUGUGUCUGUGGCAGCAUCUGUGUGUGUAUGUGAGACUGAAAGGAGGUGGGAGAUGAGGAGGGGAAGGGAAUCAGCUCCAGCAGCAACAGGCUCUAUUCUUCAGUUCUGCUAAAAGAAAGAGGAAGAGAGGAAGAAAAAAAUAGACACUCCUUUUUUUUCUCACGACACACCCUGAAGGAGAAGGCGCCUAGGCGCUGUCCGUAGUGCUGAAAUGGUGCGUGGUGAGACCUGUCUCCCCAACACAAGCUAGAAGACAACAAAAUAGCAGCCAGGAAACGCUCUGAUAAAGCUCUAGAUAGCUGCCAGGCCGAGCUCAAGGGAGCAGAACUAAGUUACAUGAUUCUGCUGCGGAUGUAUAAGCACCACUCCAAUAAUUUAUUAUCACGGUUGGAGACUUUGACUUGUCACUUUAUGACUUGAAAUAUGGCUCCAUGGUAAAUGCCCAUAAAGCUGAUUUUUAAAAUCUGGAUAUUACAGUUCUAAUUCUCACUUAGUUUAAAAGGUAGAAUAGGCUUCUUGUUUCAUAGAUCAUUUGUGUGAAUGUUGAUUUGUUAUGUCAUUGACAUCAUACACACAUGCUUACAUUUUGAAGGUUGCUAGCGUUUCCCAUUAAUGCUUCUGAAUUGAUGCCAAAGGAAAGCAUUGAUUAUAAAUUAGGUUCCUUGGUAUUAGUUGGUGCAUGACCCUGACCCUUUUCAAGCUAUAUGAAAGGUAAUGAUGCUCUCAAAAGCCUGCAAAAUGGCUUAUUCAGGAAAGCAUAAUGGAUUAAAAAUCCAUUAGGUUCCACUUUCUUUGCUAGAUGCUGAGAUACAAAGAUAAAUGAGAUUUGGUCUCUGCCCUCGAGGAGAUACGUGGCAAAAUAAUAUGGUAAGUUCUACAAAGUUCUAUACAAACACAGAUUAAUAUGCUAUUCAUGUUUUAUUAGCCAUUGCCAAAGAAGGGAUGAAGAACUGCAAAAAGAUAAAACACAGAAUACUUGUACUUCAGGUCCUUGCCAAUAUCUACUGCCCAACUUUUACAAAAAAAAUUGCUGAAAGGCAUGAAAUAUAUGAAUGCCUUUCUAAAGCACAUGUGGAUAAUCUAUACUUCUGGAGCAUCUAUGAUUUAUUUUCAGAACAAUCCAAGUUAUUAGAAAGGUAAAUAUGUUGGUGACAUUGUUUAGAAGUUCCUCAAGCAGAAUUGCCUUUACUAUGCUUUGACAUUAUGCUCUCAGCUUAUAUACAGUAAUUCUAUGUGAAACAGUAGCCAGCUUACACAACCUGCUCUAUAUCUACUACAGAGCUGUUACUAAAGUGUUGGUCAACAUAUAACUUACUAUUUCUUAUAUAAAGAUGCCCAAGAAAUUUAGAUUUCAUAGAUAUAUCCCCAAAAGCAUUUCUUUCAAUACCAGUUUAAUGAAUUGAACUUUCAUACCUCACUUAAAUCAACCCAGGGUAAAGUGGUAUGUUCUGUUCUUACACACAAUGAAAAUCAUGUAACUAAUUAAAGUUAGCAUUUAUUUUAGCUACUAGGGAUGCCAGAGUCAAAUUAACAGCUGAAAAUGAAUAACUACAUAAGACCUUAAGCCUUUUAUAUCUUUUCUUUUUUUUUAAUCACCUUAACUACUGCAAUUUUGGUUUCUUAGGUAAUGAUAAUAUUAUUUUCUUUUAAUUAUUUGUUUUAAUGUGUGACCUCAUGUAAAUGUCCUCAUAAAAUCAGAAGUGGAGUAAAUAAAUAAAUAAAGUAAAUUUCUCUAC
RNAcentral lists this long non-coding RNA (1792 nucleotides) under Homo sapiens (human). RNAcentral describes it as "CTXN2 antisense RNA 1, transcript variant 4 (CTXN2-AS1)". The record is from RNAcentral. Lineage: Eukaryota; Metazoa; Chordata; Mammalia; Primates; Hominidae.